UGCAACACCAGUGCUGGGACAAAGGGAGCUCCAGGCUUAGCUCUGGGGCUGCUGCACUCACACAACAGCUCCUGCUCUUGUUCCUGCUGAUCCUGCAGUUUGGGGUUGAGAAGAAAGGAGGGAGUAAACUGCUUUCUUUGAGAACUGGGGAGUUCAGUGCCUGAAAUUCCAGAAUCACAGAAUGUGCUGAGUUGGAAGGGACCCACAGGGAUCAGAGUCCAACUCCUGGCCCUGCACAGGACCAUCAGCAACAGACCAUCAUCGUCUCCUGUGCCCAAGAGUGAUGAGCACCUUGUGGCCAUGGGUGCUUUAACUCCUCUGGAGACAACCACAUGAGAAAGUCAGGAAAGAAGAAAAAAAAAUGACCUUACAGUGGUUUAUUACUGUUUAUGCCAGUGUCUGGAUUCCAAACCACCCUGGAGUUAAGUGUAAAGGAAGAUUCGUGUCCUGCUCGCCAUGGUAGGACACGAGUGAAAUCCACAGUGACACAGACUCAUCACAGGCUGACAGCGUGCUCUGCUACACUCUACCACUCAGGAAGGAGCUCUUGGAGCCAUUUGGGGAGAGUUCUGGGACUGUUCAGGAGCUGUCAAAAAGGCAAGAAGAACCCUAAGAAUGAAGAGGAGGCUAAAAAGAAAGUAUUUAUGGUAAAACAUGAAGAGGUGUCAAAAGGUGUCCAUAAACAAAAA
Molecule: long non-coding RNA, 689 nt
Organism: Haemorhous mexicanus (house finch)
Lineage: Eukaryota; Metazoa; Chordata; Aves; Passeriformes; Fringillidae
Exons: 5
Source: RefSeq, a predicted model, not a curated record